Long non-coding RNA from Gasterosteus aculeatus aculeatus (three-spined stickleback), 562 nucleotides. NCBI's taxonomy places the organism in Eukaryota, Metazoa, Chordata, Actinopteri, Perciformes, Gasterosteidae. The record is from Ensembl.
AUGCAAUACGUUCCUUUAAUACAAAGGACAUGGUGAAACCCUACAUCCCAACCCGCACUCUCCGCUCUGCAUUUGCAAAACUACUCGUCCCUCCCUCACUGAGAGCAAAAUGUCACCAGGGGGACAUUGUGGUUUCUUAAACUACAUGCACCUGGAGGGACUAAUCAAUUACAGAGAGCCCUGGCCAACCACAUUACACAAUGAAAGGACCUCCCCUCUCCAAUUAACACAGCUGCUAUGAAGGACACUAAGCGCCACAGAAAGGAGAAGCCACGGGAAAUCAAGUGAGAGGGCGGCAAGACAUCGGAAGAGCAAGCAGGGUGCAACGAGGAGAGGAACGAAACGGACUGGACACCUCACCCAGGAAAGAAACGGAACCGGAAACAAGAAGAAAGGGCAAGACCGAUCAGCAGCAGUGGCUGGUCGAAUUCUUAAAUCCUUUUAGUACUUUGUUCCAGCUGGACUUUUAAUAUUGUAGUUAUUUAUGGGUUUUUAGUUAAUAAUAAAAUCCUCCUUUUAAACCACGCUUUUAAGUCUUGUGAUCCAUGCUGUUCUUCCUCUG